This 105-nucleotide ribosomal RNA is filed under the name Clostridium tetani. RNAcentral's name for it is "partial 16S ribosomal RNA". It matches the Rfam family "Bacterial small subunit ribosomal RNA", at positions 1 to 101 of the family's 1533-position model. Lineage: Bacteria; Bacillati; Bacillota; Clostridia; Eubacteriales; Clostridiaceae. The record is from RNAcentral.
UUUUAAAUUGAGAGUUUGAUCCUGGCUCAGGACGAACGCUGGCGGCGUGCUUAACACAUGCAAGUCGAGCGAUGAAGCUUCCUUUGGGAAGUGGAUUAGCGGCGG